UACGGGCAAGGCAUUCAGUCUAAAAGAAUUUACACAAGUAUCUACUUAAUAAACGAUGAAAAUAAAUUAUGGACUGCCUUGCCAGCAAUAGAUGCAGAGAAGCCUUCGAAGAAUGGUAAAAUUGGAAUGGCAGUUGAGAGCGAUUCCAGUUCUGAAUCUGGUAGUCAAGGCAAGAGUGAUUCCAGUCGCCAGGAAGGGAGAUCAGGGGAAAUAAUAUGUUCCGUAGAUGGAGUUGCCGACGAUCUGAAAUCUGUGGGUAUGGGUAGUAGCCUACCUGAUAAUAAAGGCAUUGCUAGAGGAAGAGGAACAGAUGUCUACUCGUAGCUGUGAAAAAUAUCCAAUUAAGGACAAAGAUAAGCUAAUAAGCAACUUAAAAACAAUCCAGCAUUACCUUUCAAAGUAUAUUCAAGCAGAUUGUGAUUAUUGUACCCAUCUAUUUUAGAUUCAGAUAACUUUGCCAUCACAGUCUCCACUCAAAAGUGGGAAGUAUGACAAUUUAUCUUUAACAGUUAAAAUAAAGAUAUGGGAGGAGUUUCUCAUAUUAGUUGAGCAAGUCAUUUAUUUGGUAAGUUGCAUUCUAGGGCAAACAUGUAAUAUUUCUUUAAUGCUCAUUAUGUUUCACUAUGUGAGCAGGGUUUAACAGUUGUCAACAUAUCUGCAACAACCUUCCCCCAAAAAACUGGAUUGGCUACACAAUUAUCUACUCCAGGUAAUAUAUAUUCCUAAACAUUUGAGGUAGCUGAUACCUGCCUGGCCUUCUAGUUAUUCAUAGAUUGGGCAGACGGUGGGAAAUUAGAUUGCGUACUGAUCAUAGAUUGAUGAAUCAAAGGAUUUGGAAGAUCAUGUUACGCCCACUGCUUUCACCUGUUCUAAUGAUGAUCAUAUGCCUUCUCUCUCUAGAAGGGCUUGCAUCACCAUGUGGCAUGUGGAUGAGAAAAGGGAAAUGGUUGUUCUUAAAUGCAAGUCGGUAAUUUAAACCUCAAAACAAGUUCAUGGAUCAAGCUCUGCCUGUUAAAGAUCCGAAAUCUGUUAGCAUGAAUAAACAUGGUAGUAUUAAGAGAUGGAGCUUCGUUGGAUUCUGACUCUCCGCCCACUGCUGUAACUAAAUCUGAAUAAUUCUCUCUAAAUUUUUCCAGGUUUCUAUGCUAAUUUAUGUCUACAAUCUUUGACUACUUUGAGAUUUAUCUAGGUUUUACUAUAUAUCAAAACACAAGAAAAAGAUUUUUGUCACUGGAAUGUAAUGUUACAUUACUCAUCACUCUGUUGAGUAUUGAGUUAGAAGAGUAUAAAAGUACAUUGAAAUCUCUA
Molecule: long non-coding RNA, 1308 nt
Organism: Olea europaea var. sylvestris
Lineage: Eukaryota; Viridiplantae; Streptophyta; Magnoliopsida; Lamiales; Oleaceae
Exons: 5
Source: RefSeq, a predicted model, not a curated record